Molecule: transfer-messenger RNA, 346 nt
Filed under: Clostridia
Lineage: Bacteria; Bacillati; Bacillota
Also listed under: 1 other name
Description: RGIG9115 sp017935675 Standard tmRNA
Rfam family: transfer-messenger RNA
About the family: Bacterial tmRNA, also known as 10Sa RNA or SsrA, is named for its dual tRNA and mRNA-like properties.
Source: RNAcentral
GGGACUGCAAUGGCUUCGACGGGGAUAGUGAAGUGUGAAAUGCGGGUAGUGAAUGGGAAUCCACUUAAAAAGUCCCGAAUUUAAAAAUAAACGCUAACAACGAAUUAGCAUACGCAGCCUAAGCGCUGCCGUCUUAUCUGAGAGGACCACGGCUCAGAAUAAGGCGAAUAUCAGUGGUGAACGUGACUCCGGAACGCUUCGGCCGGUUUCAUGAAUAAGAAGCUACCAAGCCGUUGAUCAUGGUCUGUGUGAGCCUCGGUAAGGGAAUUUAAAUCACAGCCUACACCCGUAGAUUUUUGCAUGGAUUUAUUUUCGGACAGGAGUUCGAUUCUCCUCAGCUCCACCA